Molecule: ribosomal RNA, 469 nt
Filed under: Bacillus subtilis
Lineage: Bacteria; Bacillati; Bacillota; Bacilli; Caryophanales; Bacillaceae
Description: bacterial SSU rRNA
Rfam family: Bacterial small subunit ribosomal RNA
Source: RNAcentral
UGGUCUAUUCACCGGAGAACGCGCUGUGGUUCAUUCGAGCACGCGAAGAACCUUACCAGGUCUUGACAUCCUCUGACAAUCCUAGAGAUAGGACGUCCCCUUCGGGGGCAGAGUGACAGGUGGUGCAUGGUUGUCGUCAGCUCGUGUCGUGAGAUGUUGGGUUAAGUCCCGCAACGAGCGCAACCCUUGAUCUUAGUUGCCAGCAUUCAGUUGGGCACUCUAAGGUGACUGCCGGUGACAAACCGGAGGAAGGUGGGGAUGACGUCAAAUCAUCAUGCCCCUUAUGACCUGGGCUACACACGUGCUACAAUGGACAGAACAAAGGGCAGCGAAACCGCGAGGUUAAGCCAAUCCCACAAAUCUGUUCUCAGUUCGGAUCGCAGUCUGCAACUCGACUGCGUGAAGCUGGAAUCGCUAGUAAUCGCGGAUCAGCAUGCCGCGGUGAAUACGUUCCCGGGCCUUGUCCCCC